RNAcentral lists this unclassified non-coding RNA (522 nucleotides) under Hevea brasiliensis (rubber tree). The record is from RNAcentral. Lineage: Eukaryota; Viridiplantae; Streptophyta; Magnoliopsida; Malpighiales; Euphorbiaceae.
CGGACCGCACGGCGGAGCUCGGCGGCGGCCUGAUUCGUCGCCUCGCCCGGCACCUCAACCGCAAGGUCUCCGAGAUCCUGCUCCUCCUCUUCAAUCACAAGAGCGCUGGCUCGGUCGGCGCGCUCGCCGGAUUUGCAAUUGCUGUCGUAUUCACCUGGAAGUUCUUGCGGUCGCCUCCUGCGGGGCAGAGGGUUAACCGGCCGAAGCGGAGGGUUGCUCCGCCGGCGAGCGGUGGUGUUAGUGCUGGGGGUUCCGGAGGUGAAGAUUAUGCGACCGAGUCGAGUUUAAAGGAAAUUGAUGUGAUUGAGGGGGCAGAGCUUACUAUUGGUCAAAUAGUGAGAAGGAAGCUUGGAGGUUGUCGGAAGGUGACAUGCCAGUUACUUGGCGUGGUUCUGGAAGAGAAGGCACCAGAAGAACUUCAGAAACAAGCUACCGUGAGGCUCUCUGUUGUGGACAUUCUUCUGGAAAUUACGAAGUUUUGUGAUCUUUAUUUAAUGGAAACAGUUCUUGAUGAUGAAAGUG